RNAcentral lists this long non-coding RNA (202 nucleotides) under Elaeis guineensis (African oil palm). RNAcentral's name for it is "long non-coding RNA (EGUI_LNC034521)". Lineage: Eukaryota; Viridiplantae; Streptophyta; Magnoliopsida; Arecales; Arecaceae. The record is from RNAcentral.
AGGAACAUUAAAUAUCUUCAAAGCUUUAAAGAUGGCAAUGUCUAGUUGAGAGAUUUUAAAUAUCAGAUCGUCUACUUUCCAAGCUAUUGAUUGAAUCAAGUAUGGUAUAGGUUUUAAAUAAGAAAAUAAAAGAAGAAAUGAAUCAAGGAAAGAAGAAAAAGCGAAGAUGAAUGAUUCCUGAUCAAAAGCUUGUUGCAGCCAC